Condylura cristata (star-nosed mole) is the source of this 1641-nucleotide RNA transcript. It is a transcript of the gene named mitochondrial ribosomal protein S31, with no coding region annotated. Lineage: Eukaryota; Metazoa; Chordata; Mammalia; Eulipotyphla; Talpidae. The record is from RefSeq and is a predicted model, not a curated record. The transcript has 8 exons.
ACGUGUUUGGCAGAGGACGUACUAUUCUCCGUUUGUUCUCCUUUUAGUGUGUUUCUCCGUAAUGUUUACGAGAGUGACCGUGAUCCUACAGCUUCGCCCCCUUUCCCGUGUCCCUUUGUGCUCGGGAUGCCCAGAUGUAUCGGCAGCUGCGAUUGUGCUACUCCCGGCUCCGCACAGACCCGUCAGGGCAGAAAAUAAUAGCUGCAGAUAUUUUGGUACCAACAGUGUGAUCUAUAGCAAGAAAGAUGAACAGUCUGUUCCAACCCAGGAGAUUGCCAAGGAGACAGAGAGCCAAGACAGUAUAAAGGAAAAAAAGAAAAAAGACUUGUUAGAUAUUAUUAAGGGCAUGAAAGUUGAAUUAAGCACAGCAAAUGUACAAACAACAAAGCCACCAGGCAGAAGACCACUUAAAAGUUGGGAAGCUACAGCUAGCAAAUCUCAAAAAGCAACGGAAGAUGCCCUAGAGAAGAGUGAGUCUCUGAGUCCUGAAUUGGUGGCUGCUGCAUCUGCUGUAGCAGAUUCUCUCCCUUUUGACAAGCAAAAGACCAAGUCCGAGCUCCUCAGGCAGCUCCAGCAACAUGAAGAAAAUUCAAGGGCCCAGAAAGAUGGAGACAGACCUAAAAUUAGUUUCAGUAACAUAAUAUCAGAUAUGAAAGUGGCCAGGUCUGCCACGGCUAGAGUCAGUACAAGACCAGUGCAUCAGAUUCAGUUUGACGAAGGUUCUAGUGAUGAUUCUCUUGCCCAGGAGAAGACUGUUGGUCCUAGAAAAAGGAAAGAUUUAUUCAAGGGGAAGAGACUUAAUAUUUUUGAGAUUAAGGUAGAUACUGAAGAGGCACUUGAAACAGAGACAACACCUUCACUUUGGGAUGUGGAAUUUGCUAAGCAGUUAGCCGCAAUAAAUGAACAGCCCUUUCAAAAUGGCUUUGAAGAGAUGAUCCAGUGGACAAAAGAGGGGAAACUCUGGCAGUUUCCAAUUAAUAAUGAAGCAGGUUUUGAUGAUGAUGGUUCUGAAUUUCAUGAACACAUAUUUCUGGAUAAAUAUCUUGUGGAUUUUCCAAAACAAGGACCAAUUCGCCACUUCAUGGAGCUGGUGACCUGUGGCCUUUCUAAAAACCCGUAUCUGAGUGUGAAACAGAAGAUAGAACAUAUAGAAUGGUUUAAAAAUUAUUUUAAUGAAAAACAGGACAUUCUAAAAGAAAGUGACAUACAGUUGAAUUGAUUAUCAUGGAAACUUUAUUUUAAGCUGUUGAAGAUAAGUAUUAUAACUAAAUAAAGUAAUUUUACUAGAUGUUUGCCUUUAUUGUGUUAAUUACUGCACCUGACUUGAAUGGUAUAAAUGUUGUUUAGGAAUAUAUAGAGUUAACUAUAAAAUGCUCUUGUGUGGAAAAUGGACAUUUGUGAAUUCAACUAGUGAUUCUUAACAAAAAGAAUUAGUAAUAAGCUGAGACAACAUCCUCUGUAAUCUUUUUCAUUCAGUGACUACACUUCGAAAUACAUUUGUUAGAGAUACCUGAUGACAUCAGAGUGCUAUAACAAUUGAGACCUUCCAAGCAAAUAAAAAUCAUGUGAAAAAAACCUCCAUUAAACCCAGGCCUCAAAUGAUGAAUACAUACACUAAGGAAACAAGGCACCGUGAAUGUA